RNAcentral lists this ribosomal RNA (468 nucleotides) under uncultured bacterium. RNAcentral describes it as "partial 16S ribosomal RNA". It matches the Rfam family "Bacterial small subunit ribosomal RNA", at positions 28 to 507 of the family's 1533-position model. The record is from RNAcentral.
GACGAACGCUGGCGGCGUGCUUAACACAUGCAAGUCGAACGGAAAGGCCCUGCUUUUGUGGGGUGCUCGAUUGGCGAACGGGGGAGUAACACGUGAGUAACCUGCCCUUGACUUUGGGAUAACUUCAGGAAACUGGGGCUAAUACCGGAUAGGAGCUCCUGCAGCAUGGUGGGGGAUGGAAAGAUUCGGCGGUUGGGGAUGGACUCGCGGCUUAUCAGCUUGUUGGUGGGGUAGUGGCUUACCAAGGCUUUGACGGGUAGCCGGCCUGAGAGGGUGACCGGCCACAUGAGGACUGCGAUACGGCGCAGAAUGCUACGGGAGGCAGCAGGGGGGAAUAUUGCGCAAUGGGCGGAAGCGUGAUGCAGCAACGCCGCGUGCGGGAUGACGGGCUUCGAGUUGUAAACCGAUUUCGCCUGUGACGAAGAGUGAGUGACGGUAAUGGGUAAGAAAGCACCGGCUAACUACGUG